This 523-nucleotide long non-coding RNA is filed under the name Androctonus crassicauda. The record is from RNAcentral. Lineage: Eukaryota; Metazoa; Arthropoda; Arachnida; Scorpiones; Buthidae.
UUUUUUUUUGAGCCUGAUGAAGCUAGUUGCCAAUGUGGAAAUGUUAUAAAAACUUAAUUCAUAUAAGUAUGCUAUUAUUAUCUGGAGUAGCUAGAUUUAAUUCCGAUCCUAUAUCUAUAUGUGCAUCUAGAGAGAGCUGGAUCCAGCCUGUAAAUCUCUCUAUUUCAAGAAAGCCAGGUGAUCAUGCAAUCACUUAUCACUUUAAAGACUGGCUUAAUUCCAGGUCCCACACCUUGAUUUUUUUAAAGUCUAGGCCCUGUCUUUGAACCCCAUUCUCCAGUCUUUCAGUUGACUCCAUCGUGAAUAUUAGCCAGCCUGUAAUGGACUCUAAGUGAUUGUCACCAGAUAUAGCAUAUCCCUUGUGCAAUAUGGAAACUUAACUAAAAAUACUAUACCAAAAUCUGUUUUUGUAGCUACUUAACACCAAGUCAUCCAAAAAAAUUGAAUCAGGCUGUUCUUCUAAUCUAUAAAAUUGUGAUUUCAAGUAGGCAAUGUCAUUGGCAAGACUAUUGCAAUCUUCUGG